Molecule: ribosomal RNA, 1038 nt
Filed under: Caenorhabditis elegans
Lineage: Eukaryota; Metazoa; Nematoda; Chromadorea; Rhabditida; Rhabditidae
Also listed under: 1 other name
Description: SSU rRNA
Rfam family: Eukaryotic small subunit ribosomal RNA
Source: RNAcentral
GGUUUACCUUGAAUAAAUCAGAGUGCUCAAAACAAGUGUUUGCUUGAAUAGCUCAUCAUGGAAUAAUGAAACAGGACUUCGGUUCUUUUUGUUGGUUCUAGAACUGAUUUAAUGGUUAAGAGGGACAAACCGGGGGCAUUCGUAUCAUUACGCGAGAGGUGAAAUUCGUGGACCGUAGUGAGACGCCCAACAGCGAAAGCAUUUGCCAAGAAUGUCUUCAUUAAUCAAGAACGAAAGUCAGAGGUUCGAAGGCGAUUAGAUACCGCCCUAGUUCUGACCGUAAACGAUGCCAUCUCGCGAUUCGGAGGGUUUUUGCCCUGCCGAGGAGCUAUCCGGAAACGAAAGUCUUUCGGUUCCGGGGGUAGUAUGGUUGCAAAGCUGAAACUUAAAGAAAUUGACGGAAGGGCACCACAAGGCGUGGAGCUUGCGGCUUAAUUUGACUCAACACGGGAAAACUCACCCGGUCCGGACACCAUUAGGACUGACAGAUUGAAAGCUCUUUCUCGAUUUGGUGGUUGGUGGUGCAUGGCCGUUCUUAGUUGGUGGAGUGAUUUGUCUGGUUUAUUCCGAUAACGAGCGAGACUCUAGCCUGCUAAAUAGUUGGCGAAUCUUCGGGUUCGUAUAACUUCUUAGAGGGAUAAGCGGUGUUUAGCCGCACGAGAUUGAGCGAUAACAGGUCUGUGAUGCCCUUAGAUGUCCGGGGCUGCACGCGUGCUACACUGGUGGACUCAGCGGGUUUUUCCUAUGCCGAAAGGUAUCGGUAAACCGUUGAAAUUCUUCCAUGUCCGGGAUAGGGUAUUGUAAUUAUUGCCCUUAAACGAGGAAUGCCUAGUAAGUGUGAGUCAUCAGCUCACGUUGAUUACGUCCCUGCCCUUUGUACACACCGCCCGUCGCUAUCCGGGACUGAACUGAUUCGAGAAGAGUGGGGACUGUCGCUUCGAGGUUUAACGACUUCGUUGUUGCGGAAACCAUUUUUAUCGCAUUGGUUUGAACCGGGUAAAAGUCGUAACAAGGUAGCUGUAGGUGAACCUGCAGCUG